Molecule: ribosomal RNA, 586 nt
Filed under: uncultured fungus
Lineage: Eukaryota; Fungi
Description: eukaryotic LSU rRNA
Rfam family: 5.8S ribosomal RNA (bases 214-367)
Source: RNAcentral
CGUAACAAGUUCUCCGUAGGUGAACCUGCGGANGGAUCAUUACACAACAAAAUAUGAAGGCCUGGCUUCGCGGCCGGCUGAAAUAUUUUUUUCACCCAUGUCUUUUGCGCACUUGUUGUUUCCUGGGCGGGUUCGCCCGCCACCAGGACCAAACCAUAAACCUUUUUUUUAUGCAGUUGCAAUCAGCGUCAGUAAAAACAAUGUAAUUAUUACAACUUUCAACAACGGAUCUCUUGGUUCUGGCAUCGAUGAAGAACGCAGCGAAAUGCGAUACGUAGUGUGAAUUGCAGAAUUCAGUGAAUCAUCGAAUCUUUGAACGCACAUUGCGCCCUUUGGUAUUCCAAAGGGCAUGCCUGUUCGAGCGUCAUUUGUACCUUCAAGCUUUACUUGGUGUUGGGCGUUUUUUGUCUCCCUCUUUCUGGGAGACUCGCCUUAAAACGAUUGGCAGCCGGCCUACUGGUUUCGGAGCGCAGCACAUAUUUUGCGCUUUGUAUCAGGAGAAAAGGACGGUAAUCCAUCAAGACUCUACAUUUUUAACUUUUGACCUCGGAUCAGGUAGGGAUACCCGCUGAACUUAAGCAUAUCA